UACGUAGGUGGCAAGCGUUAUCCGGAAUUACUGGGUGUAAAGGGCGUGUAGGCGGGUAGAUAAGUCAGAUGUGAAAUUCCGAGGCUCAACCUCGGCGCUGCAUCUGAAACUGUUUAUCUUGAGUAUCGGAGAGGAAAGUGGAAUUCCUAGUGUAGCGGUGAAAUGCGUAGAGAUUAGGAGGAACACCAGUGGCGAAGGCGGCUUUCUGGACGAUUACUGACGCUGAGGCGCGAAAGCGUGGGGAGCGAACAGG
This 253-nucleotide ribosomal RNA is filed under the name uncultured bacterium. RNAcentral's name for it is "partial 16S ribosomal RNA". It matches the Rfam family "Bacterial small subunit ribosomal RNA", at positions 524 to 776 of the family's 1533-position model. The record is from RNAcentral.